UACGGAGGAUCCGAGCGUUAUCCGGAUUUAUUGGGUUUAAAGGGAGCGUAGGUGGAUUGUUAAGUCAGUUGUGAAAGUUUGCGGCUCAACCGUAAAAUUGCAGUUGAAACUGGCAGUCUUGAGUACAGUAGAGGUGGGCGGAAUUCGUGGUGUAGCGGUGAAAUGCAUAGAUAUCACGCAGAACUCCGAUUGCGAAGGCAGCUUACUAAGCCAUAACUGACACUGAAGCACGAAAGCGUGGGGAUCAAACAGG
Molecule: ribosomal RNA, 253 nt
Filed under: uncultured Bacteroides sp.
Lineage: Bacteria; Pseudomonadati; Bacteroidota; Bacteroidia; Bacteroidales; Bacteroidaceae
Description: partial 16S ribosomal RNA
Rfam family: Bacterial small subunit ribosomal RNA
Source: RNAcentral